Molecule: ribosomal RNA, 447 nt
Filed under: uncultured bacterium
Lineage: Bacteria
Description: bacterial SSU rRNA
Rfam family: Bacterial small subunit ribosomal RNA
Source: RNAcentral
UCGGGAAUUUUGGGCAAUGGGCGAAAGCCUGACCCAGCAACGCCGCGUGAAGGAUGAAGUAUUUCGGUAUGUAAACUUCGAAAGAAUAGGAAGAAUAAAUGACGGUACUAUUUAUAAGGUCCGGCUAACUACGUGCCAGCAGCCGCGGUAAUACGUAGGGACCAAGCGUUGUUCGGAUUUACUGGGCGUAAAGGGCGCGUAGGCGGCAAUUCAAGUCAUCUGUGAAAUCUCCGGGCUUAACUCGGAACGGUCAGAUGAUACUGCUUUGCUAGAGUGCAGAAGGGGCAAUCGGAAUUCUUGGUGUAGCGGUGAAAUGCGUAGAUAUCAAGAGGAACACCUGAGGUGAAGACGGGUUGCUGGGCUGACACUGACGCUGAGGCGUGAAAGCCAGGGGAGCAAACGGGAUUAGAUACCCAAGUAGUCCCUGAGCGGGCUGGCAAGGCGCAU